ACGGGUGUUGGGAGACAUAGCCCGGAGAUGGAUUCUGAGACACGAAUCCAGACCCUACGGGGUGCAGCAGGCGCGAAAACUUGGCAAUGCGAGCAAUCGUGACCAGGGAACUCCAAGUGGCUGGGGUAAUACCCAGUUUUUUCUUGACUCUUCAAAGGUCUUGGAAUAAGGGGUGGGUAAGGACGGUGCCAGCCGCCGCGGUAAUACCGGCGCCUCAAGUGGUAGUCGCUUUUAUUGGGCCUAAAACGUCCGUAGCCGGUCUGGUGCAUUCGUGGGUAAAUCAACCCGCUCAACGGGUUGAAUUCUGCGAACACGGCCAGACUUGGGACCGGGAGAGGUGUGGGGUACUCUCAGGGUAGGGGUAAAAUCCUGUCAUCCUGAGAGGACCACCUGUUGCGAAGGCGCCACACUAGAACGGAUUCGACGGUCAGGGACGAAACCUAGGGGCACGAACCGGAUUAGAUACCCGGGUAGUCCUAGGUGUAAACGCUGUGGACUUGAUGUUGGGGGUGCUCCGAGCACUCUCAGUGUCGAAGCGAAGGUGAUAAGUCCACUGCCUGGGGAGUACGGUCGCAAGGCUGAAACUUAAAGGAAUUGGCGGGGGAGCACUGCAACCUGAGGAUUGUGCGGUUUAAUUGGACUCAACGCCGGA
Molecule: ribosomal RNA, 652 nt
Filed under: uncultured Candidatus Poseidoniales archaeon
Lineage: Archaea; Methanobacteriati; Thermoplasmatota; Candidatus Poseidoniia; Candidatus Poseidoniales
Description: bacterial SSU rRNA
Rfam family: Archaeal small subunit ribosomal RNA
Source: RNAcentral